RNAcentral lists this non-coding RNA (107 nucleotides) under Megasphaera hominis. Its description in RNAcentral is "FMN riboswitch (RFN element)". It matches the Rfam family "FMN riboswitch aptamer (RFN element)". Rfam says of the family: The RFN element is a highly conserved domain that is found frequently in the 5'-untranslated regions of prokaryotic mRNAs that encode for flavin mononucleotide (FMN) biosynthesis and transport proteins. This element is a metabolite-dependent riboswitch that directly binds FMN in the absence of proteins. Lineage: Bacteria; Bacillati; Bacillota; Negativicutes; Veillonellales; Veillonellaceae. The record is from RNAcentral.
UUGUCUUUGGGGCGGGGUGUAAUUCCCUACCGGCGGUAGAGUCCGCGAGCGCAAGCACGAACCGGUGCAAUUCCGGUACCGACAGUAUAGUCUGGAUGAGAAAAGAC